GUGGGGAAUAUUGGACAAUGGGCGAAAGCCUGAUCCAGCCAUGCCGCGUGAGUGAUGAAGGCCUUAGGGUUGUAAAGCUCUUUUGUCCGGGAAGAUAAUGACUGUACCGGAAGAAUAAGCCCCGGCUAACUUCGUGCCAGCAACCGCGGUAAUACGAAGGGGGCUAGCGUUGCUCGGAAUCACUGGGCGUAAAGGGCGCGUAGGCGGACUUUUAAGUCGGAGGUGAAAGCCCAGGGCUCAACCCUGGAAUUGCCUUCGAUACUGGGAGUCUUGAGUUCGGAAGAGGUUGGUGGAACUGCGAGUGUAGAGGUGAAAUUCGUAGAUAUUCGCAAGAACACCGGUGGCGAAGGCGGCCAACUGGUCCGAAACUGACGCUGAGGCGCGAAAGCGUGGGGAGCAAACAGGAUUAGAAACCCCAGUAGUCC
Molecule: ribosomal RNA, 425 nt
Filed under: uncultured bacterium
Lineage: Bacteria
Description: partial 16S ribosomal RNA
Rfam family: Bacterial small subunit ribosomal RNA
Source: RNAcentral